CUAAAGAGGAAGAUGAUUCAAAAGAUUAGUUCUCACUAUGGCUCUCGAAACCCGCCAUUAGAGGCACAGAGGAUAAAAGAAAAAGACGAUCAAACUAAAGAAAUGAAAAAAAAAAAGCAAAAAAAAGAAGGAAACCAACCUGCAGUGAUGCAAUAUAGGAGCAGAAGAUGGUGAUUCCAUAAGAGAUAAGGGUGAUGAUCCCAAAGAAAGUUAUCGACGAUCAAAAAAAUCUUGAAACAGAGAAGACAACUGGAAGGGAAGAAGAAGAGUUUGGAAAUAUACGAAAAGAAGGCAGAGGACACCGUCUCCGUUUAUAGACGUAGAAAAUUGGAACCGUCCGGUUAUCAAAUCUUACCCAGCUAUGGAUAAUUGACAUAUGGCAUAACCUCAUCAGCAAUAGAGAGGCAUCAGUCGACUCAUUAAUGGUUUAUGCGAGAAACAAGGUGUGCCAUUUUUUUAAUCCUGUUGACUGCUCCUUGGUCAUAAUUACAGGCUGACGUGACUAUUUGAUCCACCCAAGAAUCAUAAGCGCCAUUUCUGUGAAGAAGGCAGCGAGCAGCAUGUCUUCGAUAAAUCAAGACUCGAGUACUCUCUUCAUCAAAAUCGAACUCGAAAAUAGGGAGGCAUGUGUUAGGGGGAUAUUCAUCUCUUGGGCCGAAGACAUGAAUUAGCAGAGAGGCAGGUGAUGUAACCUGAAUCUAGCUUCAGCUUCUGACGAUCCCUGGCUUCUGGUACUCCCGCUUAAGCUAAACAUCUGGUAUUAGCCGAUCCUAGCUUCGGCUUUAUUCCAACUCUGACCUUAUCUUGACUUAGACCUCAUGCCUAUCUCAGUUUUUUUAGUAAUCAACAUUCAUCAUCUAUCCAACACCUACAGGUGGCCGAACAUCUGAACUAGC
This 896-nucleotide long non-coding RNA is filed under the name Elaeis guineensis (African oil palm). Its description in RNAcentral is "long non-coding RNA (EGUI_LNC043567)". The record is from RNAcentral. Lineage: Eukaryota; Viridiplantae; Streptophyta; Magnoliopsida; Arecales; Arecaceae.